Molecule: long non-coding RNA, 202 nt
Filed under: Manihot esculenta (cassava)
Lineage: Eukaryota; Viridiplantae; Streptophyta; Magnoliopsida; Malpighiales; Euphorbiaceae
Description: long non-coding RNA (MESC_LNC010999)
Source: RNAcentral
AACAAACAACAACAAAAACAUAAAAGGGAGCAUACAUUCAUCAAAACCCAACUCAAACACUAUAGCUCUAGAUCCAUCCACAACAUGCAUCUUUACCCCAUAAACCCUCAUAAAACUUAAUUAAAAACAUAAGAGAGGCAAGGAUCUAGGCUUACCUUUUGGAGAUCUAGGAGUGACAGCAACCCCAACGUGGAGAUGAGUC